Molecule: transfer RNA, 70 nt
Filed under: Batrachoseps attenuatus (California slender salamander)
Lineage: Eukaryota; Metazoa; Chordata; Amphibia; Caudata; Plethodontidae
Description: tRNA-Trp
Rfam family: tRNA
About the family: Transfer RNA (tRNA) molecules are approximately 80 nucleotides in length. Their secondary structure includes four short double-helical elements and three loops (D, anti-codon, and T loops).
Source: RNAcentral
AAGGGUUUAGGAUAAUUUAAACCAAGGACCUUCAAAGCCCUAAACAGAAGUUAAAAACUUCUAACCCUUG